UCGCAGCUGAACUCUCUCCGCCUCUCUCUCUCUCUCUCUCUCUGUUCGGUUGCACAAAGCAGAGCAGCGAAGAUCGAAGCCAGUCUGCAUCUUUCGGUUGGUGCAAGGGUGAUCGGCGAUGAAGAAGCGACCGUUGGACCGAACGAAGGUGGUUUGGCGUCACUUGCCACCCUCCAUUACGCGGGCGUUUCUGACCGAGCAAAUCGACAGUGUCUUCUCCGGGCGGUACUGCUGGGUCUCUUUCCGUCCUGGCAAGAGCAGCCAGAAGCGCCAUACUUUUUCUAGAGCCUAUAUCAAGUUCGAGAGGCUGGAGGAUGUAACAGAAUUUGCGGGGUUCUUUGAUGGGCACGUGUUUGUGAAUGAGAAGGGUGCCCAAUUCAAAACAAUUGUUGAGUAUGCUCCUUUUCAACGUGUUCCGGCCCAACGUUUAAGGAAAGAUAGUCGUGAAGGGACCCUAAUUACAGAUCCUGAGUAUAUUGAAUUCCUCAAAUUAUUGGUAACGCCCGUUGAGAAUCUUCCCAGUGUGGAGAUACAGCUGGGGAGAAGAGAGGGGGAGGGAUCCGGUGCUGCAGAAGGUGUUCCUAUUGUUACAACGCCUCUAAUGGAUUAUGUUCGUCGAAAAAGAGCUUCUAAGAGUUCAAGGACAAGAGGCAAAUUGAAGGAAAAAGCUGGGAAGCCAUCAGCUGAAACUAAGCCUUCAUUAUUAUCUAAACUCAAUACCAAAAAAAGGACUUCCACAACAACGGAGUAGCUGGUUUUGACAAUUCCAGGAACAGGAAAAUCCGCUUUCAGAAAGGAAGGUGAGACAAAUUCAUGAGGUCUUUGGUGGUAUUGCACUGCGGCUAUUCCAAGAAAAACACAUGACGGUUCCAUCUGCUAAAAAGCAUCAUCACCGAAGUGAAAAACGUAAUCUUGGAAAUCAAUAUGUGCAUAAAUAUCUGCCUAAAAUUCAUCUAGGAAAUGGAAAAAGACCUCCUGGGGACCCACUUGUACAACCAUCUGUAAAAGAUGCAAACAGUGCCUCUGAUGUGGUUGUUGGGAAUGACCUACUUAAUUUGGGAGAUGAGAAACUGAAAACUCGAAUAAGGUAGAAGGAUCAAGUCACUAGACCUGACCAUGGUGUAAGGUGCCUCUGCUUUGUCAAUCGGAGGGGAUCAAAUGCAAACAAUGAGAUUUGAUCCUUCUCGGCAUUUAUAUCUGCUAAGUGUCUCUUAGAGUCUUCAGAUGGUAAGGAUAUGUUUGCAUUUCUCUGUAUCGUAGUGUUUUAGAUUUCGUCGUCUCCUCUGCAUUCAUGUGGGACGUUAUCCUCCAGGAGGCAAUGCAGAUCCUCAAGUUACCAUUUCAGCAGUUAGGAGCUCUUGAGUGAGAAGUAGAGGCAGUGGUCAGUCUUCUGUAAACAAUGGCUGGUUUUUGUUUUGGGGAUGUCAAUUACUUCCCCUCCUAAUGCCUUCCUGUCCCCAGACUCCUAUCAUGUGAUUUUGGGGUUAGUAAAUGGUCGAGUAUAGCUUCAUAUGCUUUUGAUGCAGCUAUCAUUGUGAGACUUUCCUAGAAAGGAAUAGAUGCCAAACAUGAGUAUGGCUGGCCUGGCAA
Molecule: RNA transcript, 1590 nt
Organism: Syzygium oleosum
Lineage: Eukaryota; Viridiplantae; Streptophyta; Magnoliopsida; Myrtales; Myrtaceae
Gene name: regulator of nonsense transcripts UPF3-like
Exons: 8
Source: RefSeq, a predicted model, not a curated record